AUGGUCGCCGCCUCCGGCAUCGCGCCGCCGCGGGCCGCGGCGGUAUCCACCUGCGCGCGGGCCCGCGCAGGCCACCGGCCCGGCUUCCUCCGAUCCCCUCCGGUGCCCGCACCCGCUAAGGCCUCCGUCCGGUGCUGCGCCUCCGCCGUCGACGACAGCGUGGUCGCGCCGGCCGCGCCCAGGCCCCGCCUCCCCAGGGUGGUUGGCAUGGGCUCAAAGCUCAUCGGAAGCGGAUCGGCCACCCCAUCACUUUGUAUUUCAAAUGACGACCUUUCAAAAUUUGUUGAAACGUCCGAUGAAUGGAUCGCUGCGCGGACUGGGAUUCGGAACAGGCGGGUUCUUUCAGGAGGCGAAACACUGGGAGGGCUUUCAGUAAAGGCAGCACAAAGGGCACUUGAGAUGGCCCAAGUAAGACCUGAAGAUGUUGACCUUGUUCUCUUUUGCACAUCUACUCCAGACGAUCUCUUUGGCGGUGCUGGUCAGGUGCUGGCGGAGGUGGGGUGCACAAAUGCAUUUGGCUUUGAUAUCACUGCUGCCUGUAGUGGAUUCAUUGUUGGUUUAAUUACAGCUACUCGUUUUAUCAAAGGUGGAGGUAUUCAAAAUGUCCUUGUAGUUGGUGCAGAUGCUCUUUCACAAUAUGUGGAUUGGACAGAUAGAGGUACAUGCAUCCUCUUUGGCGAUGCUGCUGGUGCUGUUUUGGUCCAGUCAUGCAAUGCUGAUGAAGAUGGUUUGCUAGGUUUUUGCGUGCAAAGUGAUGGCCAUGGGCAAAAGCACCUGCAUUGUUCGUCGUCGAACGCUGACUCGAUCUUAUCCAAGACCAAUGGUGUCCCUGGCUUCCCACCAAAGAAGACCAACUUUUCUUGCAUCGAAAUGAACGGAAAGGAGGUUUUCCGCUUUGCUGUACGUUGUGUUCCACAGUCCAUCGAGAAGGCGCUAGAGGAGGCCGGCCUACCUGCCUCCAGUAUAGAUUGGCUGUUGCUUCACCAAGCUAACCAGCGGAUCAUCGAUGCCGCUGCCAGUCGGUUAUCUAUCCCAUCGGAAAAAGUCAUCUCAAACCUUGCCAAUUACGGCAAUACCAGCGCGGCAUCCAUCCCAUUAGCACUGGAUGAGGCUGUUCGCGGCGGGAAGGUGAAGGCGGGCGACAUCAUCGCAGCAUCUGGCUUCGGAGCUGGACUCACCUGGGGUUCGGCUAUCGUCAAAUGGGGUUAA
RNAcentral lists this ribosomal RNA (1209 nucleotides) under Triticum aestivum (bread wheat). Its description in RNAcentral is "partial small subunit ribosomal RNA". The record is from RNAcentral. Lineage: Eukaryota; Viridiplantae; Streptophyta; Magnoliopsida; Poales; Poaceae.